Molecule: ribosomal RNA, 250 nt
Filed under: uncultured bacterium
Lineage: Bacteria
Description: partial 16S ribosomal RNA
Rfam family: Bacterial small subunit ribosomal RNA
Source: RNAcentral
UACGGAGGGUGCUAGCGUUAAUCGGAAUUAUUGGGCGUAAAGGGUGUGUAGGUGGAAUGAUAAGCUAUAGGUAAAAUACCUGGGCUCAACCUGGGGGAGUCCUGUAGGACUGUCAAUCUAGAGUAUAGGAGAGGGUAGGGGAAUUUCCGGUGUAGCGGUGAAAUGCGUAGAUAUCGGAAGGAACACUGGUGGCGAAGGCGCCUACCUGGUCUAAUACUGACACUGAGACACGAAAGCGUGGGGAGCAAAC